CACCUGUCGCCGACACAGACGCCCCCUGUGAAGCCGAGUCGCCGACACAGCUGGUCGCAUGCUCGGUUGUUGCAACCGCCCUCCAAGGUGUAUUCGUUAUCUAAAACGUACAUUGAUAAAAAGUUGUCGCACUUGCACCUGUCGCCGACACAGACGCCUCCUGUGAAGCCGAGUCGCCGACACAGCUGGUCGCAUGCUCGGUUGUUGCAACCGCCCUCCAAGGUGUAUUCGUUAUCUAAAACGUACAUUGAUAAAAAGUUGUCGCACUUGCAUCUGUCGCCGACACAGACGCCCCCUGUGAAGCCGAGUCGCCGACAUAGCUGGUCGCAUGCUCGGUUGUUGCAACCACCCUCC
Long non-coding RNA from Cydia fagiglandana, 354 nucleotides. RefSeq lists it as uncharacterized. The record is from RefSeq and is a predicted model, not a curated record. The transcript has 3 exons. Lineage: Eukaryota; Metazoa; Arthropoda; Insecta; Lepidoptera; Tortricidae.